GGAGGAGCAGGCCGGCGUCGUGCCGGAGGAUCCGGCCCUCCACCUCACGCAGCUGCGGCCCCGGUUCCACGCCGAGCUCCUCGGCCA
Molecule: transfer RNA, 87 nt
Filed under: Paractinoplanes brasiliensis
Lineage: Bacteria; Bacillati; Actinomycetota; Actinomycetes; Micromonosporales; Micromonosporaceae
Description: Actinoplanes brasiliensis tRNA-Arg
Source: RNAcentral